GCGGCAGGCCUAAUACAUGCAAGUCGAACGGCAGCGGGUCCAGCAAUGGAUGCCGGCGAGUGGCGCACGGGUGCGUAACGCGUAUACAAUCUACCUUCGACUGGGGAAUAGCCCCGAGAAAUCGGGAUUAAUACCCCAUAAUAUUGAGAGGGGGCAUCUCUUUUCAAUUAAAGCUCCGGCGGUCUUAGAUGAGUAUGCGUGACAUUAGCUAGUUGGCGAGGUAAUGGCUCACCAAGGCGACGAUGUCUAGGGGUUCUGAGAGGAUUUUCCCCCACACUGGUACUGAGACACGGACCAGACUCCUACGGGAGGCAGCAGUAGGGAAUAUUGGGCAAUGGGCGCAAGCCUGACCCAGCCAUGCCGCGUGAAGGAUGACGGCCCUAUGGGUUGUAAACUUCUUUUGUACGGGAAAAAAUCCCCGGUCGUGUACCGGGGUUGAUGGUACCGUAAGAAUGAGGAUCGGCUAACUCCGUGCCAGCAGCCGCGGUAAUACGGAGGAUGCAAGCGUUAUCCGGAUUCAUUGGGUUUAAAGGGUGCGCAGGCGGAAUGAUAAGUCAGUGGUGAAAUCCUACGGCUCAACUGUAGAACUGCCAUUGAUACUGUCGUUCUUGAGUACACUUGAAGUGGGCGGAAUGUGUCAUGUAGCGGUGAAAUGCUUAGAUAUGACACAGAACACCGAUCGCUAAGGUAGCUCACUAGAUUGUAACUGACGCUCAUGCACCAAAGCGUGGGGACCAGACGGGAUUAUAUACUCUGUUAGGUCGCGCUCUUAAUGAGGAG
Molecule: ribosomal RNA, 780 nt
Filed under: uncultured bacterium
Lineage: Bacteria
Description: bacterial SSU rRNA
Rfam family: Bacterial small subunit ribosomal RNA
Source: RNAcentral